AGCAGCCGCGGUAAUUCCAGCUCCAAUAGCGUAUAUUAAAGUUGUUGCAGUUAAAAGGCUCGUAGUUGAACUUCGGGGUUUACCCAUUGGUCAGGCUUAAUUGUCUGUACUGGUGAGAUAAAUCUCUACCUUCUGAGGAACUUUCAUGUCAUUAAUUUGGUGUGAUUGGAAAUCAGGACUGUUACUUUGAAAAAUUAGAGUGUUUAAAGCAGGCUAACGUCUGAAUACAUUAGCAUGGAAUAAUGAAAUAGGACGGACUGAUUCUAUUUCGUUGGUUUCUAGGAUCACCGUAAUGAUUAAUAGGGAUAGUUGGGGGCAUUAGUAUUCAAUUGUCAGAGGUGAAAUUCUUGGAUUUAUUGAAGACUAACUACUGCGAAAGCAUUCGCCAAGGAUGUUUUCAUUAAUCAAGAACGAAAGUUAGGGGAUCGAAGACGAUCAGAUACCGUCGUAGUCUUAACCAUAAACUAUGCCGACUAGGGAUUGGACGAAGUUAAUUUUAUAAUUGACGCGUUUACGGGCA
Molecule: ribosomal RNA, 520 nt
Filed under: uncultured Diversispora
Lineage: Eukaryota; Fungi; Glomeromycota; Glomeromycetes; Diversisporales; Diversisporaceae
Description: SSU rRNA
Rfam family: Eukaryotic small subunit ribosomal RNA
Source: RNAcentral